GUUGGCACCGACUUGACAUGGGUAUAAAAAAUAGGAAAAAAAAAAGAAAAAAAGAAGAAAAAAAAAUCUAAAACCGUAUCCUUGCACACUCCUCUCAAGCUCCGAUUCUCAUCCAACUUGAACUCAUGCUACUAUAGUAAACAGUAAGGCGUAAUUGAGAAGAAAAUAGGGAAGAGAGGGGAGAAGGAGAGUAGUUAAUCAAACAACUCAUAGCAAGGAUCCGGUUGAUAUCCAGGGGAGUAAUAUUUUGGGGACAAUCGUGUCCAUUAGAGUGGCUUGGUGGACCGACAAGAAGAGGAAGGGAGAACUAUAAAUGGAGAAGUCAAAGCAUGGAUGGAGCUUUUAUGCUUGUAUCUGAUGAAGAGUUUGGUGCAGAAGUACCUACACAAAGUCUCUUGUUGAAGGUUCAAGCACAGUGCCAGUAUCAGAAUACAAGCCAAUUCCUGAUCUUGAUUAUCUCCAGAAAUAUACGACUAAGGAAAUUAAAUGAGUGGGACUCGUAAUAUGGGAUUCAUGCCUCAGCAGCUUAUUGAGAUUCUUAGCUAUGCUAUGGUGAUAACGAAAAAUCAUAUUUUUACUUCAGGAGCAUCAGGGACUAAUGCUGCGGAGCCCUGAGAGCAGAAAAACCAGAGUUACUUACUGUAAUCUUGCCCCAGAUCUGAAAAUGCAACCACCUGAGAGUCAGGAGUUGUUGGCUAACGUUGUGCGACGGAGACAUUCUCUCACAUGUGCAACAAGUGAUAUGCUUUGCGUUCCAUGACAGCAGACUGCUCAUGGAAACUUACCAAAAGCGAAGAAUCUCCGAAAGAUUGUUACUCUCUUUUAUUUGGACUAAAAAUCAUCAUAAUUGAUGCUCCGAUAGCGUUUACUUUAUUUAUAAACAAAUAGGCAUGGCUCCUUUCUGCAAAUAUUAUUUUUGCUUUUCUUUUGUCCUUACUUUGUCUAGGAAAGCUAUGAAUUUGUUUCGGUGGUGAAGGGAGCCUGUAAUCAUUUUUUUUUAUUCUUUUAUAGAAAGA
This is a long non-coding RNA of Asparagus officinalis (garden asparagus), 1016 nucleotides long. RefSeq lists it as uncharacterized. Lineage: Eukaryota; Viridiplantae; Streptophyta; Magnoliopsida; Asparagales; Asparagaceae. The transcript has 6 exons. The record is from RefSeq and is a predicted model, not a curated record.